UACGUAGGGUGCAAGCGUUAAUCGGAAUUACUGGGCGUAAAGCGUGCGCAGGCGGCUAUGCAAGACAGAUGUGAAAUCCCCGGGCUCAACCUGGGAACUGCAUUUGUGACUGCAUAGCGUAGAGUACGGUAGAGGGGGAUGGAAUUCCGCGUGUAGCAGUGAAAUGCGUAGAUAUGCGGAGGAACACCGAUGGCGAAGGCAAUCCCCUGGACCUGUACUGACGCUCAUGCACCGAAAAGCGUGGGGGAGCAAACAGG
Molecule: ribosomal RNA, 257 nt
Filed under: uncultured bacterium
Lineage: Bacteria
Description: partial 16S ribosomal RNA
Rfam family: Bacterial small subunit ribosomal RNA
Source: RNAcentral